Molecule: ribosomal RNA, 253 nt
Filed under: uncultured bacterium
Lineage: Bacteria
Description: partial 16S ribosomal RNA
Rfam family: Bacterial small subunit ribosomal RNA
Source: RNAcentral
UACGUAGGGGGCAAGCGUUGUCCGGAUUUAUUGGGCGUAAAGCGCUCGUAGGCGGUUCGUUGCGUCGUGCGUGAAAGACCCCGGCUCAACUGGGGGAUGUCGUGCGAUACGGGCGGACUGGAGGCCAGUAGGGGGAUGCGGAAUUCCGGGUGUAGUGGUGGAAUGCGUAGAGAUCCGGAGGAACACCAGCGGCGAAGGCGGCAUCCUGGACUGGGCCUGACACUCAGGAGCGAAAGCGUGGGGAGCGAUCCGG